This 401-nucleotide ribosomal RNA is filed under the name uncultured bacterium. RNAcentral's name for it is "bacterial SSU rRNA". It matches the Rfam family "Bacterial small subunit ribosomal RNA", at positions 355 to 774 of the family's 1533-position model. The record is from RNAcentral.
UGGGGAAUAUUGGACAAUGGGCGCAAGCCUGAUCCAGCCAUGCCGCGUGAGUGAUGAAGGCCUUAGGGUUGUAAAGCUCUUUUAGCAGGGAAGAUAAUGACGGUACCUGCAGAAAAAGCCCCGGCUAACUUCGUGCCAGCAGCCGCGGUAAUACGAAGGGGGCUAGCGUUGCUCGGAACUACUGGGCGUAAAGCGCACGUAGGCGGACUCUUAAGUCGGUGGUGAAAUCCUGGAGCUCAACUCCAGAACUGCCUUCGAUACUGGGAGUCUUGAGUUCGGGAGAGGUGAGUGGAACUGCGAGUGUAGAGGUGAAAUUCGUAGAUAUUCGCAAGAACACCAGUGGCGAGGCGGCUCACUGGCCCGAUACUGACGCUGAGGUGCGAAAGCGUGGGGAGCAAACA